RNAcentral lists this ribosomal RNA (466 nucleotides) under uncultured bacterium. RNAcentral's name for it is "partial 16S ribosomal RNA". It matches the Rfam family "Bacterial small subunit ribosomal RNA", at positions 28 to 506 of the family's 1533-position model. The record is from RNAcentral.
GAUGAACGCUGGCGGCGUGCUUAACACAUGCAAGUCGAACGGAAAGGCCCAAGCUUGCUUGGGUACUCGAGUGGCGAACGGGUGAGUAACACGUGGGUGAUCUGCCCUGCACUUCGGGAUAAGCCUGGGAAACUGGGGCUAAUACCGGAUAGGACCACUUGCUGGAUGGUGGGGGGGAAAGUUUUUUCGGUGUGGGAUGGGCUCGCGGCGUAUCAGCUUGUUGGUGGGGUGGUGGCCUACCAAGGCGUCGACGGGUAGCCGGCCUGAGAGGGUGUGCGGCCACAUUGGGACUGAGAUACGGCCCAGACUCCUACGGGAGGCAGCAGUGGGGAAUAUUGCACAAUGGGCGGAAGCCUGAUGCAGCAACGCCGCGUGGGGGAUGACGGCCUUCGGGUUGUAAACUGCUUUCGCCUGGGACGAAGCGUUUUGUGCCGGUACCGGGAGAGGAAGCCCCGCCUACUUCCGU